Molecule: non-coding RNA, 23 nt
Filed under: Mus musculus (house mouse)
Lineage: Eukaryota; Metazoa; Chordata; Mammalia; Rodentia; Muridae
Source: RNAcentral
CAAGAAGUGGAACUGUUCAUGGU